AGACAGGUGCUGCAUGGCUGUCGUCAGCUCGUGUUGUGAAAUGUUGGGUUAAGUCCCGCAACGAGCGCAACCCUUAUCCUUUGUUGCCAGCGAUUCGGUCGGGAACUCAAAGGAGACUGCCGGUGAUAAACCGGAGGAAGGUGGGGAUGACGUCAAGUCAUCAUGGCCCUUACGAGUAGGGCUACACACGUGCUACAAUGGCGCAUACAAAGAGAAGCGACCUCGCGAGAGCAAGCGGACCUCACAAAGUGCGUCGUAGUCCGGAUCGGAGUCUGCAACUCGACUCCGUGAAGUCGGAAUCGCUAGUAAUCGUGGAUCAGAAUGCCACGGUGAAUACGUUCCCCAACGUAGUACACUCCUCCCAACGUAACCAAGUCGAACAAGGUAACCAAGU
Molecule: ribosomal RNA, 394 nt
Filed under: Pantoea sp.
Lineage: Bacteria; Pseudomonadati; Pseudomonadota; Gammaproteobacteria; Enterobacterales; Erwiniaceae
Description: bacterial SSU rRNA
Rfam family: Bacterial small subunit ribosomal RNA
Source: RNAcentral